This 855-nucleotide long non-coding RNA is filed under the name Pan troglodytes (chimpanzee). RNAcentral describes it as "long non-coding RNA NONPTRT008495". The record is from RNAcentral. Lineage: Eukaryota; Metazoa; Chordata; Mammalia; Primates; Hominidae.
GGACAAUUCAAUCUGUAUAUGGGAAAUAAACUGGAGGGGAAGACGAAUGGCAGGAGGGUGAAGAGGAAGCUGAAUUACUGUGCAAACACCCGCCACUCAAAUCCGGGUGGUUACUGCGGAGUGAAUAACGAUAGGUACUAUUUCGUGUAAGUCAAAGUCCUUUGAAAGGGCUCCUAGAGCGUCAAGGCCUCCACCUGAUGAAUGAAUGAGUCAGGCAGGCCCAGCUCCACUUCACGGAUGGGAAAACUGAGGUACGAGGCCUCGCUGAAAGAUGCGAGGCAGAGCGGAGAACCAGAAGCACCACUUCUCUCAGGCUGAUGCUCUAAUCUCGGCUCCCCCGCCCCGACGAUGGCGUAGACGGCCUCCGCCGGCCGACUCACACACACCCUCCCCCGGGAACGGCAAGUCUCCUCGGGUUCCAAGGACGGGGUCAAAAGACAAGAGGCCCGAGGCGCUCCCGCCGUGAUUUGCAGCCAGAGAGCGUUGGGAGCGUGCGUGCCUCCAGCCCAACAUGGCGGCGGCAGCGGCCGCCCCCGACCCCAAGCCCUCCCUCAGGGCCCGAGGCUUCUCCUCAGGGCCUUCCGGUGGGCGGGAAGACAGCGCAACCCCGCCAGGCCUUUCUCGUCGCUGCGCCUGCUCGCUGAAGGAGUCACCUACCCGACGAGACUAACGGCCGCGGCGCGGAAGCCCCACAGCCCGCCGAGAACCAGGAAUACGAGAGCCAGGCGGCGCGGCGGCGGGAGCUGUACUGAGCAAGAAAGAAGAUUUCAAAGUAAUUUAUUGUUAUGAGAUCCGUGCUUUUAUCUUGUCUCAGACUCCCAAUGAUAGGCACAUACUCUCCUCUGUACAUUUAAU